AGAGUUUGAUCCUGGCUCAGAAUCAACGCUGGCGGCGUGCCUAACACAUGCAAGUCGCACGAGAAAGCGGGCUUCGGCCUGCAAGUAAAGUGGCGCACGGGUGAGUAACACGUGAAUCAUCUACCUUCGAGUGGGGAAUAACCUCGGGAAACCGAGGCUAAUACCGCAUAAUACCUACGGGUCAAAGCAGCAAUGCGCUU
Molecule: ribosomal RNA, 200 nt
Filed under: uncultured bacterium
Lineage: Bacteria
Description: partial 16S ribosomal RNA
Rfam family: Bacterial small subunit ribosomal RNA
Source: RNAcentral